RNAcentral lists this ribosomal RNA (466 nucleotides) under uncultured bacterium. RNAcentral describes it as "partial 16S ribosomal RNA". It matches the Rfam family "Bacterial small subunit ribosomal RNA", at positions 28 to 507 of the family's 1533-position model. The record is from RNAcentral.
GACGAACGCUGGCGGCGCGCCUAACACAUGCAAGUCGAACGAGCGAGCGAGAGCUUUCUUUCUCGAGCGAGUGGCGAACGGGUGAGUAACGCGUGAGGAACCUGCCUCAAAGAGGGGGACAACAGUUGGAAACGACUGCUAAUACCGCAUAAGCCCACGACCCGGCAUGGGGGAGAGGGAAAAGGAGCAAUCCGCUUUGGGAUGGCCUCGCGUCCGAUUAGCUGGUUGGUGAGGUAACGGCCCACCAAGGCGACGAUCGGUAGCCGGACUGGGAGGUUGACCCACAGCAUUGGGACUGAGACCCGGCCCAGAAUGCGACGGAUGGCAGCAGGUGGGAAUAUUGCACAAGGGGGGAAACCCUGAUGCAGCGGCGCCGCGUAGAGGAAGAAGGUCUUCGGAUUGUGAACUCCUGUUGUAGAGGAAGAUAAUGACGGUACUCAACAAGGAAGUGACGGCUAACUACGUG